RNAcentral lists this long non-coding RNA (219 nucleotides) under Amborella trichopoda. Its description in RNAcentral is "long non-coding RNA (ATRI_LNC004086)". The record is from RNAcentral. Lineage: Eukaryota; Viridiplantae; Streptophyta; Magnoliopsida; Amborellales; Amborellaceae.
CCCUUAAAAGUUAUAGCACUAUCUCUCUCUAUUUUUAAGAGAUUGCUAUCUUUCUCUCUCUUUCUUCCCUUAAAAUCUAUAGCAUGCACUAUUUUUUUUGGAGAUUGAGAUUGUAGUCUUUCUCUCACUUCCCUUAAUAUCUUUCUCUCACUUCCUUUAAUAUAUGUUGCACACUAUUUCCUAUAUAUCUAUCUCUCACUAUUUUUAAGAGAUUGCUAU